AGUCGCCCAGCUUUGGCCCAAUCCGCUUCCUGUCGAGGAAUAAACCAUGAGGAUGCGCCAUGGAGGUUUUCGAGUUCUGCGAGGUGCAAGAUCUUGAGAAUAAGAACCUAUGAACUGAUUGUGUGCUUCCGAUUUCUAUGCACGCUACAAGAUGUGCAGAUGCGUCCGGGGAGCAGACAGACGCCAAAAUUUGACGACACCAGACACAAGAACGUUGCUCUGACCAGACUGUGCUGACCGGUGCAGAGUUCGGCACACACAGAAAAGUGAAAGUCGUCUUACUCAAGUCGAUGCCCGACUUUCUAGACGCUCCGCUGCCUGAAAAACAGACUGCAAAUAAAUAAAGUGCAUUGGGAGCCCUCGAA
This is a non-coding RNA of Sus scrofa (pig), 365 nucleotides long. Lineage: Eukaryota; Metazoa; Chordata; Mammalia; Artiodactyla; Suidae. The record is from RefSeq and is a predicted model, not a curated record.